AUAUUAAAUGGCUGCAGUAUUUUGACUGUACAAAGGUAGCAUAAUCACUUGUCUUUUAAUUGAAGGCUGGAAUGAAUGGUUGGAUGAGAAAUAAUCUUUCUUUAUUUUAUAUAAAAAAUUUAAUUUUUUAGUUAAAAAGCUAAAAUUUUGUUAUAGGACGAGAAGACCCUAUAGAACUUUACUUUUUUUAUAUUUAAAACUUUUAUUUUUUUAAAGUCUUAUAUAUAUUAUAAGUUUUGUUGGGGUGAUGGAAAAAAUAUUUUAACUUUUUCUAUUUUUUACAUUUAUUUAUGUUUUUUUGAUCCUUUAUUAUGGAAAUAAGAUUAAGUUACCUUAGGGAUAACAGCGUUAUUUUUUCGGAUAGUUCAUAUUGAUGAAAGAGUUUGCGACCUCGAUGUUGGAUUAAAAUAAGUUACAGGGGCAUAAUAU
RNAcentral lists this ribosomal RNA (429 nucleotides) under Hyalopeplinus nr. philippinensis UNSW ENT 00027659. Its description in RNAcentral is "partial large subunit ribosomal RNA". Lineage: Eukaryota; Metazoa; Arthropoda; Insecta; Hemiptera; Miridae. The record is from RNAcentral.